RNAcentral lists this long non-coding RNA (511 nucleotides) under Ananas comosus (pineapple). RNAcentral describes it as "long non-coding RNA (ACOM_LNC005000)". The record is from RNAcentral. Lineage: Eukaryota; Viridiplantae; Streptophyta; Magnoliopsida; Poales; Bromeliaceae.
UUUUAAUUUGAACAUGACUCUGAUUCUAGAUUCUUUUAUAAAUUAAACAAAUUAAUUUUCAUUAUUCCUUUUUCUAUUCCGACAUAUUUUCGUUUCUAUUUUGAUUUCGAUUUUGAACCAAACAUGUCCUAAAAUGAAUGCAUCUUAUAAAAAGAGAAAACUUCAAAUAUCACCCAUGUGGUUUCGUAUUUUCUCACUUUAGUACCAUAUGGUUUAAAGUGUAUCACUUUCCUACCCUGUGAUUUUUUUUUUUUUUUUGUUAUCUCCUCUAUUAAUUUUUUUCGUUAACUCAGUGAUAAAGUUAAAACUAAAGGGUACUUGAAUGAAUAUUCGAUAAACUAUAGAUAGGGUAUUUGAAAUUUUUUAUAUAUGAUUUAACGAAAAGUUAACAGAGAAAGUGACAAAAAGAGAAAAAUAAAACUACAGGGUACUAAAUUCAUGCACUCUAAACUAUAGGAUACUAAAGUAAAAAAAUGUGAAACCACAGGGUGGUAUUUGAAGUUUACCCUAU